RNAcentral lists this ribosomal RNA (279 nucleotides) under uncultured Eubacteriales bacterium. Its description in RNAcentral is "uncultured Clostridiales bacterium partial 16S ribosomal RNA". It matches the Rfam family "Bacterial small subunit ribosomal RNA", at positions 62 to 339 of the family's 1533-position model. The record is from RNAcentral. Lineage: Bacteria; Bacillati; Bacillota; Clostridia; Eubacteriales.
UUUGAUGAAGUUUUCGGAUGGAUUUAAACAGCUUAGUGGCGGACGGGUGAGUAACGCGUGGGUAACCUGCCUCACACUGGGGGAUAACAGUUAGAAAUGACUGCUAAUACCGCAUAAAACAGCAGAGUCGCAUGACUCAACUGUCAAAGAUUUAUCGGUGUAAGAUGGACCCGCGUCUGAUUAGCUAGUUGGUGAGGUAACGGCCCACCGUGGCUUCGACGGGUAGCCGGACUGAGAGGUUGAACGGCCACAUUGGGACUGAGAUACGGCCCAGACUCC